Molecule: ribosomal RNA, 261 nt
Filed under: uncultured bacterium
Lineage: Bacteria
Description: partial 16S ribosomal RNA
Source: RNAcentral
CUGCUGCCUCCCGUAGGAGUCUGGUCCGUGUCUCAGUACCAGUGUGGGGGACCUUCCUCUCAGAACCCCUACGCAUCGUCGCCUCGGUGGGCCGUUACCCCGCCGACUAGCUAAUGCGACGCAUGGCCAUCCUAUGCCGGAGUCGCCUCCUUUGACCCCCGUGGAGAUGUCUCCAAAUGGUGUUAUGCGGUAUUAGACGGAAUUUCUUCCGCUUAUCCCCCCUGCAUAGGGCAGGUUCCAUACGUGUUACUCACCCGUGCG